GCUCAAAAUCUAGCCUAACAAUAUCAUAUACAAAUUCUUUACAAAUUCAACUUUAACAAAACAUUUUCUCAUUCUAGUAGAUGCGAUCAAAAAAAUUCUUAGCGCUUCAGAUUAAGUACCGCAAGGGAAAGAUGAAAUAACAAUGAAACAAUAUAAAAACACCUAAUAGCAGAGCCUAAUCCUCGUACCUUUUGCAUCAUGGUCUAGCCAGUCUAAUUAAGCAAAACGAACUUAAAGUUUAACCCCCCGAAACUAAGUGAGCUACUUCGAAACAGCUAUAAGAGCCAACCCAUCUCUGUUGCAAUAGAGUGGGACGAUUUCCAAGUAGAGGCGACAAACCUACCGCACUUAGAGAUAGCUGGUUACUCAAGAAAAGAAUUUAAGUUCAACCUUAAGUUUACUUUUUAUUAACUAAAAUUAUAUAAAACUUAAGAGUUAUUCAAAUAAGGCACAGCUUAUUUGAAACAGGACACAACCUACAUCAUAGGGUAAUAUAAAAAUAAAAAUAACUAGUGGGCCUAAAAGCAGCCAUCUUAAAUAAAAGCGUUAAAGCUUAGUACUUUCUUUUUCUAAUUCCUUACACUAUUUAAAACCCUUCCACAGUAUUGAGUAAUUUCAUAAAAAUAUGAAAAAUAUUAUGCUAGAACUAGUAACAAGAAAUAGACUUUCUCCAAAAUGUAAGCCUAAGCCACAUUAGACAAACUAAUGGCAAUUAACGUAAAUGAGCCAACUUUAACAACCCCUACCUAGAAAACACUACAAACUCAAACGUUAAUCUUACACCAGAACAUUAAUGGAAAGAUUAAAAGAAAAAGAAGGAACUCGGCAAAUCUUAACCCCGCCUGUUUACCAAAAACAUCGCCUCUUGAAAAUAUAAGAGGUCCAGCCUGCCCAGUGACAACAUUUAACGGCCGCGGUACCCUAACCGUGCGAAGGUAGCAUAAUCACUUGUUCUUUAAAUGAGGACUUGUAUCAAUGGCAUCACGAAGGUUAUACUGUCUCCUUUCUCUAAUCAGUGAAACUGAUCUCUCCGUGAAGAAGCGGGGAUUUUUUUAUAAGACGAGAAGACCCCAUGGAGCUUUAAACCCAAUUGUACUCCUAUUUUUUAUAACCUCUUAAACCAUGGAAUCUACACACUUGGUUUUAGGUUGGGGUGACCACGGAGCUUAAUUUAGCCUCCAUGAUGAACGGGACUAUCCCCUUAUCUAAGAGCAACAUCUCUAAGAACUAGUAUUCUAACAUAAAAUGAUCCGUCAAUCGAUCAACGAACCAAGUUACCCUGGGGAUAACAGCGCAAUCCACUUCAAGAGCUCCUAUCGACAAGUGGGUUUACGACCUCGAUGUUGGAUCAGGGUAUCCUAGUGGUGCAGCAGCUACUAAAGGUUCGUUUGUUCAACGAUUAAAACCCUACGUGAUCUGAGUUCAGACCGGAGCAAUCCAGGUCGGUUUCUAUCUAUAAAGAGUUGUUCCUAGUACGAAAGGAGCGAAACAACAUGGCCUAUGCCAAAACAAGCCAUCAAAUUUUUAUCAAUGAACCUAACUCAAUUGUUUACAACCUAAAACUAUUCCCCAAACCAGGGC
This 1581-nucleotide ribosomal RNA is filed under the name Mantella bernhardi. RNAcentral describes it as "16S rRNA". It matches the Rfam family "Bacterial large subunit ribosomal RNA". Lineage: Eukaryota; Metazoa; Chordata; Amphibia; Anura; Mantellidae. The record is from RNAcentral.